Molecule: ribosomal RNA, 253 nt
Filed under: uncultured bacterium
Lineage: Bacteria
Description: partial 16S ribosomal RNA
Rfam family: Bacterial small subunit ribosomal RNA
Source: RNAcentral
UACGAAGGGGGCUAGCGUUGCUCGGAAUCACUGGGCGUAAAGGGUGCGUAGGCGGGUCUUUAAGUCAGGGGUGAAAUCCUGGAGCUCAACUCCAGAACUGCCUUUGAUACUGAAGAUCUUGAGUUCGGGAGAGGUGAGUGGAACUGCGAGUGUAGAGGUGAAAUUCGUAGAUAUUCGCAAGAACACCAGUGGCGAAGGCGGCUCACUGGCACGAUACUGACGCUGAGGCACGAAAGCGUGGGGAGCAAACAGG